UUUGACAUCCAGCGUCGGUAGUCAUCCACCCAUCCACUUGCGUGGCAAGGCGAGGCAACAGCCGGGCCGGUUGUCGCAAUUGAGCGGGCCUAGCUCGUCCUACUAGUAUGAGGAUCGGCACAGUAUGUUGCGUAAUCCUACCACUAACUGUGGAGAGGUAGAGGCAACACAUGUUCCGGUUGUUCUCAAAUUCGGAGAGCAUUAUUAGGGUCAGGUCGAGGCAACCAAAAGGGCCACGAGCCUUUAUCAUGAGCAACAUCCGAAACCAACAGCGGGAGCGAGGCUGCCUUGAUAGCACCAGGCACGAAACAUGCCAGCACCAAGAGGCAACGCCGCAAGCGCCAUAUGGCCGCAGCAGCACACCCAAAGGCGUCCACCGCGAGGCAACUGUGUAUGAAGCACCAAUACCCGUAGGUCGGGUAACAUCACGCAAGCACUUGAAAGGCAACAGUAAGAUAGCUCACACGAAUGAAAAGACACGGCGCCGGUAGUCGGCCGCACGAA
Molecule: unclassified non-coding RNA, 504 nt
Filed under: Anthoxanthum utriculatum var. altissimum
Lineage: Eukaryota; Viridiplantae; Streptophyta; Magnoliopsida; Poales; Poaceae
Description: Hierochloe altissima partial external transcribed spacer
Source: RNAcentral